Molecule: long non-coding RNA, 503 nt
Organism: Gordionus sp. m RMFG-2023
Lineage: Eukaryota; Metazoa; Nematomorpha; Gordioida; Chordodea; Parachordodidae
Exons: 4
Source: RefSeq, a predicted model, not a curated record
AAUCUGGAUUCUGAAAAAUCAUAGAAUUUUACAAUUGCCAAGUUGUAAACAAUCAAAUUUUUUAUAUAAAGGAGUGAAAGAGUCAAUCAAAUACCCUCUCACCCAUCUUAAAUAAAUGAACUACAAACUAUUAUUUGCUAUAAUUUUGGUCAUGAUGGCAUUAUUAAGUGUUAUGAUUAAAGCUAUUGAGGAACAUACUCCAAUGAGUAUGGGCAUAAAAUGUAUGGAAGAGGAGUGUGACCUUUUGUGAGACGCAAUUUGGUUUGUCAUUAUGGAUACCGACGUUUUAAUUAUUGCUUUUAUUGCUCUUGCGAAUCAAUCGGCUCAAUCGGUGGGUGAAUGCAUUAAUAUCGAAUUUACGGAUAAUAAAUAUAUUAUUUUAACAAAUUAUUUAAAUGUAAAAUUUGCGCAAUAAUUAAAAAAAAAUGUUUGAUAUCCUAUUAUUUUUUUGUAAUUAUAAUGAAAAAACCCUAUAAGAGAUUAAAAAGAAUUUAUUUGUGAAA